UACGUAGGUGGCAAGCGUUGUCCGGAAUUAUUGGGCGUAAAGCGCGCGCAGGCGGUCCCUUAAGUCUGGUGUGAAAGCCCACGGCUCAACCGUGGAGGGUCAUUGGAAACUGGGGGACUUGAGUACAGAAGAGGAAAGCGGAAUUCCACGUGUAGCGGUGAAAUGCGUAGAGAUGUGGAGGAACACCAGUGGCGAAGGCGGCUUUCUGGUCUGUAACUGACGCUGAGGCGCGAAAGCGUGGGGAGCAAACAGG
This 253-nucleotide ribosomal RNA is filed under the name uncultured bacterium. RNAcentral's name for it is "partial 16S ribosomal RNA". It matches the Rfam family "Bacterial small subunit ribosomal RNA", at positions 524 to 776 of the family's 1533-position model. The record is from RNAcentral.